UACAGAGGUCUCGAGCGUUAGGCGGAAUCACUGGGCUUAAAGUGUGUGUAGGCGGAUGCCUAAGUACCUUGUGAAAUCCCACAGCUUAACUGUGGAACUGCUUGGUAUACUGGGUGUCUUGAGCCACUCAGGGGCGAGCGGAACAAAUGGUGGAGCGGUGAAAUGCGUAGAUAUCAUUUGGAACGCCAAUGGUGAAAACAGCUCGCUGGGGGUGUGCUGACGCUGAGACACGAAAGCCAGGGGAGCGAACGGG
This 253-nucleotide ribosomal RNA is filed under the name uncultured bacterium. RNAcentral's name for it is "partial 16S ribosomal RNA". It matches the Rfam family "Bacterial small subunit ribosomal RNA", at positions 524 to 776 of the family's 1533-position model. The record is from RNAcentral.